GCAGUCUGCAACUCGAGUGCAUGAAGCUGGAAUCGCUAGUAAUCGCGAAUCAGAAUGUCGCGGUGAAUACGUUCCCGGGUCUUGUACACACCGCCCGUCACACCAUGGGAGUCGGGAAUGCCCGAAGCCGGUGACCCAACCUUAAGGAGGGAGCCGUCGAAGGCAGGCCUGGUAACUGGGGUGAAGUCGUAACAAGGUAUC
This 201-nucleotide ribosomal RNA is filed under the name uncultured bacterium. RNAcentral describes it as "partial 16S ribosomal RNA". It matches the Rfam family "Bacterial small subunit ribosomal RNA", at positions 1300 to 1500 of the family's 1533-position model. The record is from RNAcentral.